RNAcentral lists this ribosomal RNA (280 nucleotides) under uncultured Bacillota bacterium. RNAcentral describes it as "uncultured Firmicutes bacterium partial 16S ribosomal RNA". It matches the Rfam family "Bacterial small subunit ribosomal RNA", at positions 487 to 766 of the family's 1533-position model. The record is from RNAcentral. Lineage: Bacteria; Bacillati; Bacillota.
AAAGCCACGGCUAACUACGUGCCAGCAGCCGCGGUAAUACGUAGGUGGCAAGCGUUAUCCGGAUUUAUUGGGCGUAAAGGGAACGCAGGCGGUCUUUUAAGUCUGAUGUGAAAGCCUUCGGCUUAACCGGAGUAGUGCAUUGGAAACUGGGAGACUUGAGUGCAGAAGAGGAGAGUGGAACUCCAUGUGUAGCGGUGAAAUGCGUAGAUAUAUGGAAGAACACCAGUGGCGAAAGCGGCUCUCUGGUCUGUAACUGACGCUGAGGCUCGAAAGCGUGGGG